Molecule: transfer RNA, 73 nt
Filed under: marine sediment metagenome
Description: tRNA-OTHER
Source: RNAcentral
GACACGUGAUGCAAGGGGUAUUUUUGCCCUCCUAAGGGGCAGGUCGCAGGUUCGAAUCCUGCCCGGGGCACCA